CUGCGCCACGAGUGGUAGCUACAAUUAUUGGGUCUAAAGCGUUCGUAGCCGGUUUGAUAAAUCCAUUGUGAAAUUGUGAGGCUUAACCUUACACUGUGCAGUGGACACUGUCAGACUAGGGACCGGGAGGAGCUAGAGGUAUUCUCGGGGGAGCGGUAAAAUGCUAUAAUCCCAAGAGGACCACCUGUGGCGAAAGCGUCUAGCUAGAACGGAUCCGACGGUGAGGAACGAAAGCUGGGGGAGCAAUCCGGAUUAGAGACCCGAGUAGUCC
This 271-nucleotide ribosomal RNA is filed under the name uncultured archaeon. RNAcentral's name for it is "partial 16S ribosomal RNA". It matches the Rfam family "Archaeal small subunit ribosomal RNA", at positions 477 to 747 of the family's 1478-position model. The record is from RNAcentral.